Non-coding RNA from Phrynosoma platyrhinos (Desert horned lizard), 71 nucleotides. The record is from the annotation of a GenBank genome assembly. NCBI's taxonomy places the organism in Eukaryota, Metazoa, Chordata, Lepidosauria, Squamata, Phrynosomatidae.
GCCAGCAUGGUGUAAUGGUUUGAGCACCAGAUUAUGAUCCUGGAGACCAGGAUUCAAUUCCCUGCUUGGCC